GGGGCGACAGUGUCCCCGCCCGCCCCCGGCCGGGUCGCGGGCAUGAAGGACAGCUGGAUCGCGGCGGGGGGCGGAGGUGGGGCGGCCCGGGCCCCUGGACUCUAGACCUACGCCGCCCGGGCACGAAGGCCCAGCCCUGGCCCUGGCCGCGGUCUCAGCCCGGGACCCCGGAUCGCGCAGAAAUGCACUGAACAGGCCCCUACAAUUGGGCUCCAGAAACUACCUGAGCUCGGACUACCUGUUGCCUCACAUUGGCAAAAGAGGGGGAAACCAGAAGGAGGGAAUUCUGCUGCGGCGACUUGACUUUCCCCGCCCCGAGCAGAAAGGCAUUGACGUUUGUAGGCGGUGACCCGCCCCUUCUCUGGCCUUCUGCGUGAUGGGGUCUCCAUGCACUUUAUUUAUUUGCAGUCUGUUUUCUAGGCGGUGGAGCUUCUAGACACCGACCGGAAUGACAUACGUUUCUGUGUGUGA
Molecule: long non-coding RNA, 471 nt
Filed under: Homo sapiens (human)
Lineage: Eukaryota; Metazoa; Chordata; Mammalia; Primates; Hominidae
Description: non-protein coding lnc-SMIM10L2B-1:11
Source: RNAcentral